Molecule: non-coding RNA, 89 nt
Filed under: Pseudomonas indica
Lineage: Bacteria; Pseudomonadati; Pseudomonadota; Gammaproteobacteria; Pseudomonadales; Pseudomonadaceae
Source: RNAcentral
CGUUAUGGCGGGCCGUGCGUGGGCGGGCUUCGGCCCGGCCGGGUACCUCUGACCCCGGUUGACCAACCCGCGCACGGUUCGCCUCCAUU